GAAUGUGUUGUGUUAGAUAUUAAUGGAGAGGGCAUCAGAAAGAGGGAUAGGAAUGUGCAAUGUGGGUGGCAAAGAGCAGGGAUUUGGAGUUACAAGCAGGCCUGGCGAUUUUAAUACGACCAUGUUGAUGCAUCUUUUGUGGAGGGUGUGUCACAUACUACACACACCAAAGAGCUCAUUUUUUUUAAGGCCGAGCUCAGUUUAUUGCAUUUGCAGCUGACAAACCUUGUUCAUCAUGUGGUACAAAGGUAAUGAAAUCCAGGAUCCUCUGCUUUAGGGUACUGGAUGGCUAGAUAUCCAGGAGGAGCUGGGCAGGUCACGCAAUCAAGGAGCACUGGAAGGCCCGUGGCUGAUUGGUCAGCAUUGAUGAUGGAGGCCAAGCCAAGCCACUCCCACCCAUUUGUACACUGAUGUAAAUGACUCCCGUAACCAGGAAACUCAGAAACGGAUUCAUACUCAAGGCUAGGGGAGUGGAGAGGUUUCGGAGUUUAGGCAAGCGCUGUUUGGGUAUACCGUGAAGACAAACACAUCCCGGUGGAUCUGCAAGGAGUGGAGCUGUUUUGGGCCACGCUGAGCCGUAAAGGAUCCAGACAAGACCCCCCCCCCCUCCCGGAAGGUAACAUGCCACCUGGAAACAUCUCAUCUCUCCAGCUCAGGACCCGUGAUGGUAGCACUCUGGGAAAGUACAGGCACCACAUGCAGAUGCUAUAUGCGUGUUAGCAUCUCGGCUGCGGGAUCGCAGGACAGGCCUUCGGAGAACAGAGCUGCGCUACAUCACGAUCGGCGAGUCCGUAACCCUCCGACACCCAGAGCCGCGUGACCAUCUCAGUGACGAGCCGACUCAAAGUCUCUGCUAAAACA
Paramormyrops kingsleyae is the source of this 861-nucleotide long non-coding RNA. RefSeq lists it as uncharacterized. NCBI's taxonomy places the organism in Eukaryota, Metazoa, Chordata, Actinopteri, Osteoglossiformes, Mormyridae. The record is from RefSeq and is a predicted model, not a curated record.